UACGUAGGGCGCAAGCGUUGUCCGGAUUUAUUGGGCGUAAAGAGCGCGUAGGCGGCUUGGUAGGUCCGGUGUGAAAACUCGAGGCUCAACCUCGAGAUGUCGGCGGAAACCGCUUGGCUAGAGUCCGGAAGAGGAGAGUGGAAUUCCUGGUGUAGCGGUGAAAUGCGCAGAUAUCAGGAAGAACACCUAUGGCGAAGGCAGCUCUCUGGGACGGUACUGACGCUGAGACGCGAAAGCGUGGGGAGCGAACAGG
RNAcentral lists this ribosomal RNA (253 nucleotides) under uncultured bacterium. RNAcentral's name for it is "partial 16S ribosomal RNA". It matches the Rfam family "Bacterial small subunit ribosomal RNA", at positions 524 to 776 of the family's 1533-position model. The record is from RNAcentral.